CCAAUGAUGGCGACCGGCGCACGGGUGAGUAACGCGUAUCCAACCUACCCUUGUCCAUCGGAUAACCCGUCGAAAGGCGGCCUAACACGAUAUGCGGUUCACAGCAGGCAUCUAACGUGAACGAAAUGUGAAGGAGAAGGAUGGGGAUGCGUCUGAUUAGCUUGUUGGCGGGGUAAUGGCCCACCAAGGCUACGAUCAGUAGGGGUUCUGAGAGGAAGGUCCCCCACAUUGGAACUGAGACACGGUCCAAACUCCUACGGGAGGCAGCAGUGAGGAAUAUUGGUCAAUGGGCGAGAGCCUGAACCAGCCAAGUAGCGUGCAGGAUGACGGCCCUAUGGGUUGUAAACUGCUUUUAUAGGGGGAUAAAGUGUGCCACGUGUGGCAUAUUGCAGGUACCCUAUGAAUAAGGACCGGCUAAUUCCGUGCCAGCAGCCGCGGUAAUACGGAAGGUCCAGGCGUUAUCCGGAUUUAUUGGGUUUAAAGGGAGCGUAGGCCGCUUGGUAAGCGUGUUGUGAAAUGUCGGGGCUCAACCUGGGCAUUGCAGCGCGAACUGUCAGACUUGAGUGCGCAGGAAGUAGGCGGAAUUCGUCGUGUAGCGGUGAAAUGCUUAGAUAUGACGAAGAACUCCGAUUGCGAAGGC
RNAcentral lists this ribosomal RNA (640 nucleotides) under uncultured Bacteroidales bacterium. RNAcentral describes it as "bacterial SSU rRNA". It matches the Rfam family "Bacterial small subunit ribosomal RNA", at positions 82 to 722 of the family's 1533-position model. Lineage: Bacteria; Pseudomonadati; Bacteroidota; Bacteroidia; Bacteroidales. The record is from RNAcentral.